CCAGCAGUGAUGAGGCUCUAACAUUUAAGAAGACUCCCUGUGUGGGUUUCUCCUAUGCAAUAUACAUGUUACGCUUGGCUUCUGAGCUUC
This is a small nucleolar RNA of Lupinus angustifolius (narrow-leaved blue lupine), 90 nucleotides long. It matches the Rfam family "Small nucleolar RNA R24". Rfam says of the family: snoR24 is a C/D box small nucleolar RNA which acts as a methylation guide for 18S ribosomal RNA in plants. The record is from Rfam. NCBI's taxonomy places the organism in Eukaryota, Viridiplantae, Streptophyta, Magnoliopsida, Fabales, Fabaceae.